RNAcentral lists this ribosomal RNA (253 nucleotides) under uncultured bacterium. RNAcentral describes it as "partial 16S ribosomal RNA". It matches the Rfam family "Bacterial small subunit ribosomal RNA", at positions 524 to 776 of the family's 1533-position model. The record is from RNAcentral.
UACGUAGGGUGCAAGCGUUGUCCGGAAUUAUUGGGCGUAAAGAGCUCGUAGGCGGUUUGUCGCGUCUGCUGUGAAAACUCUGGGCUUAACCCAGAGCCUGCAUUCAAAACUGACGGGCUAGAGUUCUGGAGGGGGUAGCGGAAUUCCUGGUGUAGCGGUGAAAUGCGUAGAUAUCAGGAGGAACACCGGUGGCGAAGGCGGUUCUCUGGGCAUGUCCUGACGCUGAGGAGCGAAAGUGUGGGGAGCGAACAGG